RNAcentral lists this transfer RNA (72 nucleotides) under Stegodyphus mimosarum. It matches the Rfam family "tRNA". From Rfam's summary of the family: Transfer RNA (tRNA) molecules are approximately 80 nucleotides in length. Their secondary structure includes four short double-helical elements and three loops (D, anti-codon, and T loops). Lineage: Eukaryota; Metazoa; Arthropoda; Arachnida; Araneae; Eresidae. The record is from Rfam by way of RNAcentral.
GCCUUCGUGGUGUAAUGGUCAGCACACUGAGCUGUAAUUCAGAGGUCCGUGGUUCGAUCCCCGGCGAAGGCA